CCUAUAAGUUGUCUGGUAGUGGUAUAUAAUUUCUUAAUUUGUGCAUAAGAAAAAUAAAAUAUUAUGAGUUGCAUGGCAACAAUAACUCGUACAAUGGUUGUUAAGUUGUCUCGUAGUCCUACAAUUUAGCUCAUGAGGUGGUUGUUUCGCGAAGCAAGGACCUCUUUCUCUCUCCUCGCUCUCUCUCCUCCACAUCAUCAAAAAUCCUACAU
RNAcentral lists this long non-coding RNA (212 nucleotides) under Setaria italica (foxtail millet). Its description in RNAcentral is "long non-coding RNA (SITA_LNC001060)". The record is from RNAcentral. Lineage: Eukaryota; Viridiplantae; Streptophyta; Magnoliopsida; Poales; Poaceae.